RNAcentral lists this ribosomal RNA (460 nucleotides) under uncultured bacterium. RNAcentral describes it as "partial 16S ribosomal RNA". It matches the Rfam family "Bacterial small subunit ribosomal RNA", at positions 338 to 795 of the family's 1533-position model. The record is from RNAcentral.
CCUACGGGUGGCAGCAGUGAGGAAUAUUGGUCAAUGGACGAGAGUCUGAACCAGCCAAGUAGCGUGAAGGAUGACUGCCCUAUGGGUUGUAAACUUCUUUUAUAUGGGAAAAAAAUGUUCCACGUGUGGGAUUUUGUAUGUAACAUAUGAAUAAGGAUCGGCUAACUCCGUGCCAGCAGCCGCGGUAAUACGGAGGAUCCGAGCGUUAUCCGGAUUUAUUGGGUUUAAAGGGAGCGUAGGUGGAUUGUUAAGUCAGUUGUGAAAGUUUGCGGCUCAACCGUAAAAUUGCAGUUGAAACUGGCAGUCUUGAGUACAGUAGAGGUGGGCGGAAGUCGUGGUGUAGCGGUGAAAUGCUUAGAGAUCACGAAGAACUCCGAUUGCGAAGGCAGUUCACUGGACUGCAACUGACACUGAGGCUCGAAAGUGUGGGUAUCAAACAGGAUUAGAUACCCCAGUAGUC